AUUGAACGCUGGCGGCAGGCUUAACACAUGCAAGUCGAACGAGUGGCGGACGGGUGAGUUAUAUCUGGGAAACUGCCUGAUGGAGGGGGAUCACUACUGGAAACGGUAGCUAAUACCGCAUACUCUCAUAUGUGCCCCGAUGGGAUUAUCUAGUUGGUGGGGUAACGGCUCACCAAGGCGACGAUCCCUAGCUGGUCUGAGAGGAUGCCCAGCCACACUGGGACUGAGACACGGUCCAGACUCCUACGGGAGGCAGCAGUGGGGAAUAUUGCACAAUGGGCGCAAGCCUGAUGCAGCCAUGCCGCGUGUAUGAAGAAGGCCUUCGGGUUGUAAAGUACUUUCAGCGGGGAGGCGUUACCCGCAGAAGAAGCACCGGCUAACUCCGUGCCAGCAGCCGCGGUAAUAC
Molecule: ribosomal RNA, 406 nt
Filed under: uncultured bacterium
Lineage: Bacteria
Description: partial 16S ribosomal RNA
Rfam family: Bacterial small subunit ribosomal RNA
Source: RNAcentral